Sipha flava (yellow sugarcane aphid) is the source of this 866-nucleotide long non-coding RNA. RefSeq lists it as uncharacterized. Lineage: Eukaryota; Metazoa; Arthropoda; Insecta; Hemiptera; Aphididae. The transcript has 4 exons. The record is from RefSeq and is a predicted model, not a curated record.
UUAAAAUUGUAAAUAAAAAAACUCCGGCGCAAAUGGGUUAAUGUAAUCGGAGUGGUAUUGGAAAAAAAGUGGUGGGUCUUUACAAAAUUGGAACUUAAGACGGAAUUUUAUACAACUUAUGCAGGUACGCCCAUUAUCACCUUCUCUUCCACUAAAUAAUAUAAAAUAAGUAAAUGGACAGUAACAGUAAAAUUAUUGCAGGUCUGAAUUUUGUUGGUGCAUAAAGGUUGUUUAUUUUAUAACUACAGAUCAAGUUCCCGGUAAUAAUAUUAUUCUUCGCGUAGCCGCAACUAAAGCUUCAACAGGAUCAGGACAAGAUUUUAUGAGAUGCACUUGCAAAAAGUCAUGUGGGACAAAUCGCUGCCUAUAUGCAUUUGUGGAAGAUAUCAAACGACGAAACGUCAACGGAUUUAUUACUACGAUUAUAAACAAUGCAAUUUUCUAUAUGGGUAAAUUGAAAAAUAAAAAAUGUACCAAAAAUCAAUAUUAUAAGCAAUUCAAAAUUCAAAAUAUUAAUUCUAGCUCAAUAGUCAAAUGAACUACGUCAUGAAGUGACUUCUUAAUAAAAGAUCAAAUCUGAGACUGAUAAUUCAUUUCUACAAAUCAAAAUAAAGGAUGUUUAGAGCAAUAUUAUGAUGCCAAUAAUUGCCUGUUCUUGAAGCUAAAAAAAAAACAAGAAAAGAUGACGAAAAACAAUCCAACAAAUUGCAUUCAUGCUGACAAUAUUUAAAUAACUUUUAAUUCAAGUUUAAUUAAUAACACAAUUUGAAAUUACUGAAAUGUACUGUAAUUAAAUAUAUGUUAUAUAAUAUACUUAUCAUUUUUUUCAUCCUGUUAAACCCAGGAACAAGGAGAUAUUUGUUUAA